AGGGGCGUAGCUCAAUUGGUAGAGCACCGGUCUCCAAAACCGGGUGUUGGGAGCUCGAGCCUCUCCGCCCCUGCCA
Molecule: transfer RNA, 76 nt
Filed under: Myoviridae sp. ctHIt1
Lineage: Duplodnaviria; Heunggongvirae; Uroviricota; Caudoviricetes
Description: tRNA-Trp
Rfam family: tRNA
About the family: Transfer RNA (tRNA) molecules are approximately 80 nucleotides in length. Their secondary structure includes four short double-helical elements and three loops (D, anti-codon, and T loops).
Source: RNAcentral